RNAcentral lists this ribosomal RNA (497 nucleotides) under uncultured bacterium. Its description in RNAcentral is "partial 16S ribosomal RNA". It matches the Rfam family "Bacterial small subunit ribosomal RNA", at positions 28 to 507 of the family's 1533-position model. The record is from RNAcentral.
GAUGAACGCUGGCGGCGUGCCUAAUACAUGCAAGUCGAGCGAACGGACGAGAAACUUUCUUUUCUUAUUUUAGCGGCGGACGGGUGAGUAACACGUGUAUAACCUACCUAUAAGACUGGGAUAACUUCGUGAAACCGGAGCUAAUACCGGAUAAUAUUUUGAACCGCAUGGUUCAAAAGUUAAAGACGUUCUUGCUUUCACUUAUAGAUGGAUCCGCGCUGCAUUAGCUAGUUGGUAAGGUAACGGCUUACCAAGGCAACGAUGCAUAGCCGACCUGAGAGGGUGAUCGGCCACACUGGAACUGAGACACGGUCCAGACUCCUACGGGAGGCAGCAGUAGGGAAUAUUGCACAAUGGGCGCAAGCCUGACGGAGCAACGCCGCGUGAGUGAUGAAGGUCUUCGGAUCGUAAAACUCUGUUAUUAGGGAAGAACAUAUGAGUGAGUAAAUGUGCACAUAUUGACGGUACCUAAUCAGAAAGCAACGGCUAACUACGUG